Molecule: transfer RNA, 36 nt
Filed under: Globicephala macrorhynchus (short-finned pilot whale)
Lineage: Eukaryota; Metazoa; Chordata; Mammalia; Artiodactyla; Delphinidae
Description: partial tRNA-Pro
Source: RNAcentral
CAAGGAAUAGUUUAUGUAGAAUUCCAGCUUUGGGUG